GGAGGCGUGGCGGAAUCGGUAUACGCGGCGGAUUCAAAAUCCGCUUCCCAUCCGGGAGUGAGGGUUCGAGUCCCUCCGCCUCUACCC
Molecule: transfer RNA, 87 nt
Filed under: Deltaproteobacteria bacterium
Lineage: Bacteria; Pseudomonadati; Myxococcota; Myxococcia
Description: tRNA-Leu
Rfam family: tRNA
About the family: Transfer RNA (tRNA) molecules are approximately 80 nucleotides in length.
Source: RNAcentral